GCCGGGCGUGGUGGCGGGCGCCUGUAAUCCCAGCUACUGGGGAGGCUGAGGCAGGAGAAUCGCUUGAACUCGGGAGAUGGGGGCUGCAGUGAGCCGAGAUCGCGCCAUUGCACUCCAGCCUGGGCUACAGAGCGAGACUCUUGUCUCAA
This is an unclassified non-coding RNA of Macaca mulatta (Rhesus monkey), 149 nucleotides long. It matches the Rfam family "Metazoan signal recognition particle RNA". From Rfam's summary of the family: The signal recognition particle (SRP) is a universally conserved ribonucleoprotein. NCBI's taxonomy places the organism in Eukaryota, Metazoa, Chordata, Mammalia, Primates, Cercopithecidae. The record is from Ensembl.